This 1343-nucleotide ribosomal RNA is filed under the name uncultured bacterium. Its description in RNAcentral is "16S ribosomal RNA". It matches the Rfam family "Bacterial small subunit ribosomal RNA", at positions 28 to 1378 of the family's 1533-position model. The record is from RNAcentral.
GACGAACGCUGGCGGCGUGCUUAACACAUGCAAGUCGAACGGAAAGGCCCUGCUUUUGUGGGGUGCUCGAGUGGCGAACGGGUGAGUAACACGUGAGUAACCUGCCCUUGACUUUGGGAUAACUUCAGGAAACUGGGGCUAAUACCGGAUAGGAGCUCCUGCUGCAUGGUGGGGGUUGGAAAGUUUCGGCGGUUGGGGAUGGACUCGCGGCUUAUCAGCUUGUUGGUGGGGUAGUGGCUUACCAAGGCUUUGACGGGUAGCCGGCCUGAGAGGGUGACCGGCCACAUUGGGACUGAGAUACGGCCCAGACUCCUACGGGAGGCAGCAGUGGGGAAUAUUGCACAAUGGGCGGAAGCCUGAUGCAGCAACGCCGCGUGCGGGAUGACGGCCUUCGGGUUGUAAACCGCUUUCGCCUGUGACGAAGCGUGAGUGACGGUAAUGGGUAAAGAAGCACCGGCUAACUACGUGCCAGCAGCCGCGGUGAUACGUAGGGUGCGAGCGUUGUCCGGAUUUAUUGGGCGUAAAGGGCUCGUAGGUGGUUGAUCGCGUCGGAAGUGUAAUCUUGGGGCUUAACCCUGAGCGUGCUUUCGAUACGGGUUGACUUGAGGAAGGUAGGGGAGAAUGGAAUUCCUGGUGGAGCGGUGGAAUGCGCAGAUAUCAGGAGGAACACCAGUGGCGAAGGCGGUUCUCUGGGCCUUUCCUGACGCUGAGGAGCGAAAGCGUGGGGAGCGAACAGGCUUAGAUACCCUGGUAGUCCACGCUGUAAACGGUGGGUACUAGGUGUGGGGUCCAUUCCACGGGUUCCGUGCCGUAGCUAACGCUAUAAGUACCCCGCCUGGGGAGUACGGCCGCAAGGCUAAAACUCAAAGGAAUUGACGGGGCCCCGCACAAGCGGCGGAGCAUGCGGAUUAAUUCGAUGCAACGCGUAGAACCUUACCUGGGUUUGACAUGGAUCGGGAGUGCUCAGAGAUGGGUGUGCCUCUUUUGGGGUCGGUUCACAGGUGGUGCAUGCCUGUCGUCAGCUCGUGUCGUGAGAUGUUGGGUUAAGUCCCGCAACGAGCGCAACCCUUGUUCACUGUUGCCAGCACGUUAUGGUGGGGACUCAGUGGAGACCGCCGGGGUCAACUCGGAGGAAGGUGGGGAUGACGUCAAGUCAUCAUGCCCCUUAUGUCCAGGGCUUCACGCAUGCUACAAUGGCUGGUACAGAGAGUGGCGAGCCUGUGAGGGUGAGCGAAUCUCGGAAAGCCGGUCUCAGUUCGGAUUGGGGUCUGCAACUCGACCUCAUGAAGUCGGAGUCGCUAGUAAUCGCAGAUCAGCAACGCUGCGGUGAAUACGUUCCCGGG